Long non-coding RNA from Bos indicus x Bos taurus (hybrid cattle), 301 nucleotides. The record is from Ensembl. NCBI's taxonomy places the organism in Eukaryota, Metazoa, Chordata, Mammalia, Artiodactyla, Bovidae.
GAAUGUCCAACCACAAAACAACUCGUUAGUCCUUCAGAGCAGAGAACUGAUUGUGUGUGAAGUCAAGAAAAGUCCCCAGGGUGAAAUACACGGAAAGUUUAAGACACGGUGAUGGACCGCAGCCCCAUAGAAGUAUUGGAAAUGACACUGCGGAAGGUCAAUGCGAGCCAGAGAGAGAUUGCAUGACUCCAAGAACUCCGGCAUCUCAGGACUCUGCAACGAUGAAGGUUGCUCUGCUGUGCCAACGUUUGCCAAGUCAAGCUACCUCGAGGAACACAAUAAAUCCUGCUCCCUUUUGGCA